CCUCCAGCGCCUCCUCUGUUCCUCUAUCCCUAACCCUAACCCAGGCGACGGCGCCGUUGCCCGCGGCCCUCCCUUCACCGACGGCGCCAUCUCGUCCGAGUCCGAGCUGGAGGAGCACGUGUACGUCGGGGAGGCAGCAAGGCCAGCACGCCGUCGGUCCGUCCUUCCCUGGUUCCUCACCGAGCGCCACGCAGAGGAAAAGAUAAUGGUGAAGGAGAAGGGGAAUGAGAAGGGAAAGGGUGAUGGUAAGGAGAAUGCGAAGGCGAAGACAAAGGAGAAGAGCGUGAAUUACUUAAUUAGGCAAGAUUCAGCGCUGCCUCCGCCGGUUCCGAGGAAGAAGAGGAAGCCUAAGGUGCAGAUUAAGAAGGCAAAAGACUUUCCCAAUGCCCCAACGGGAGAGUUGAUUUGUGCCAUCUUUCGUGUCAAAAUCAGUUUGUGGAUGUCCAAAAAACAAAGGAAAUGCUGUCCAAAUUUAGUUAUUCUUGCUGUCCAAAUUUAGUCCAGUGCUUGCUGUCCAAUUAGUUGUUUGUGGUUGUCAUAUUCAUGCUGUUUUGGUC
This 557-nucleotide ribosomal RNA is filed under the name Triticum aestivum (bread wheat). RNAcentral's name for it is "partial small subunit ribosomal RNA". Lineage: Eukaryota; Viridiplantae; Streptophyta; Magnoliopsida; Poales; Poaceae. The record is from RNAcentral.